GUGAUUCUAGCUCAGUGGUAAAGCGCUUGCCUAGCAUGUAUGAGGCACUGGGUUCAAUCCUCAGCACCACA
This 71-nucleotide transfer RNA is filed under the name Marmota monax (woodchuck). RNAcentral describes it as "tRNA.Ala". The record is from RNAcentral. Lineage: Eukaryota; Metazoa; Chordata; Mammalia; Rodentia; Sciuridae.